This 119-nucleotide ribosomal RNA is filed under the name Streptococcus sp. HMSC078H12. RNAcentral's name for it is "partial 16S ribosomal RNA". It matches the Rfam family "Bacterial small subunit ribosomal RNA", at positions 1423 to 1533 of the family's 1533-position model. The record is from RNAcentral. Lineage: Bacteria; Bacillati; Bacillota; Bacilli; Lactobacillales; Streptococcaceae.
GAAGUCGGUGAGGUAACCUUUUGGAGCCAGCCGCCUAAGGUGGGAUAGAUGAUUGGGGUGAAGUCGUAACAAGGUAGCCGUAUCGGAAGGUGCGGCUGGAUCACCUCCUUUCUAAGGAA